GUAACGCGUAUCCAACCUUCCCACUAACUACGGGAUAACCCGUUCGAAAGAACGGCCUAAUACCGUACGAUAUCGUUUGCUGACAUCAAAUAACGAUUAAAGGUUUAGCGGUUAUGGAUGGGGAUGCGUCUGAUUAGCUUGUUGGCGGGGUAACGGCCCACCAAGGCAACGAUCAGUAGGGGUUCUGAGAGGAAGGUCCCCCACAUUGGAACUGAGACACGGUCCAAACUCCUACGGGAGGCAGCAGUG
Molecule: ribosomal RNA, 249 nt
Filed under: uncultured Prevotella sp.
Lineage: Bacteria; Pseudomonadati; Bacteroidota; Bacteroidia; Bacteroidales; Prevotellaceae
Description: partial 16S ribosomal RNA
Rfam family: Bacterial small subunit ribosomal RNA
Source: RNAcentral